CGCGUAUGUAACCUACCUACUACUAUUGGAUAGCCCAUGGAAACGUGGAUUAAUACAGUAUGGUAUUAUCGAAUUGCAUAUUUUGAUAAUUAAAGAAUUUCGGUAGUAGAUGGGCAUGCGUAUGAUUAGCUAGUUGGUAAGGUAACGGCUUACCAAGGCCACGAUCAUUAGCGGUUCUGAGAGGAUGAUCCGCCACACUGGCACUGAGAUACGGGCCAGACUCCUACGGGAGGCAGCAGUAGGGAAUAUUGGUCAAUGGGGGCAACCCUGAACCAGCCACCCCGCGUGAGGGAAGAAUGC
Molecule: ribosomal RNA, 300 nt
Filed under: uncultured bacterium
Lineage: Bacteria
Description: bacterial SSU rRNA
Rfam family: Bacterial small subunit ribosomal RNA
Source: RNAcentral